RNAcentral lists this transfer RNA (71 nucleotides) under Methanomicrobia archaeon. Its description in RNAcentral is "tRNA-Gly". It matches the Rfam family "tRNA". Rfam says of the family: Transfer RNA (tRNA) molecules are approximately 80 nucleotides in length. Lineage: Archaea; Methanobacteriati; Methanobacteriota; Methanomicrobia. The record is from RNAcentral.
GCGCCGAUGGUCUAGUGGUAUGACUUUGGCCUUCCAAGCCAACUGCCCGGGUUCAAAUCCCGGUCGGCGCA